RNAcentral lists this small RNA (28 nucleotides) under Bombyx mori (domestic silkworm). Its description in RNAcentral is "ovarian small RNA-31770". The record is from RNAcentral. Lineage: Eukaryota; Metazoa; Arthropoda; Insecta; Lepidoptera; Bombycidae.
UGACGGUAACGUGCGAUGCAGCCUCGAC